This 2327-nucleotide small RNA is filed under the name Rattus norvegicus (Norway rat). RNAcentral's name for it is "uncharacterized LOC102555554". Lineage: Eukaryota; Metazoa; Chordata; Mammalia; Rodentia; Muridae. The record is from RNAcentral.
UGCUUGGGCAGCCAGAAAGUGUGCUCACCCACCGAGCAGGAAGCUCCUCCCAGGUCUUCACUGUUCCUGGGUCAAGACUGGUUUCAUUGGUCUAUGUGGAUGACAGCGUAUUAUAGUGUGUUUAAUAAAAGGUGAGAGAUUAUUACCAAUAACCAACAUUUGUCAAGGGCUCCAAAAGUGCAUUUCCAGACAUUAUCUCACCGACCUCCACACAAGCCUCUGAGAGCAUCCCUGUGAGCUCCUGUCUGUAAUGCCGAGGCCUGGAGGGCCUGUAAAAAGGCCAAUCCUGACCCAGAUCUCCUCCAGCGAGCAACCCUUCCAGGUCCAUGAUGCCAACUCUCUGGGUGGCCUGUUUAAUGGGGAGAAAAAAUUAAAUACCCCAGCCAAGUCCUAUGGAAACCAAAGAGGGUCAACAAGCCCACUCCUACUGUAGCAUCAUAGACUUGUAGAGGACAGCCAGAGUCAGCCCCUGGGCUUCCAGGUUUCUGGGCUUCCUGGUUUCCGGACUUCCGGCAGGGCCUCAGAUGUCAGGAGCCGCAUUCCUCCCUUACCUUACAGCCUUAGGAUUCCUGGCAGUUUCCUAAGAACUCCACAGCUGGAGUACAGCUGCUUGGGGUGGAGAAAGCAGUACUCUUGGUAGGUCAGCAGGGUGAGCGAGCGAGGGCAGGGACUGUUGGAAGGUUGGGAAAGUCCUUGCCUGAGCCAGAAUCCAGGAAUGUGCUGGGGCCUCGGCUGAGAAAUCCUUCCAGAUGGGGGAGGGAAGGGGAAAGUGUCUGCCUUCUGGAUAGAUUUUUUUUUAAAAAAUCGCCCCAGGGAGGUGGACUGUUUUGAAACCGUCUUUUAGUGUGAAUGUUUAAACUGACCUGGAAACUUCCUCCCUUUUCUUUUCCUACAGUCCGAAUUUGUUUCCGAGGAGCAGUAAUCAACAAGGACAUUUGCCUCAGGGUCUCUCUUCCUUCGCCUCUUUAAAUGUUUAAAAAAAUUAUUGUUGUUGUUGUUAUCUUUAGUUCGGGGAAACUUUUGGACGCUCUCCAGGCUGCGGCUAUAGAAGUUUCCAGGAAAAUGGAAAAGCAACAUUAGUGUUUUGAACCUGUCUGGGUCAAGGGCUAGACGUGUUGGUUUUUUGCUUUUUGGUUUUUUUUUAGAAUGUCAGCAAUAAGGGCAGCCAGGUCCUGUGAGAGAGGCCAGCAAGGCAGAGGGCCUGAAGAUGCUGUCAGAAGGAUCUAAGAGCAUCCGAAAUCUCAGAGACGAACGUGGAGUUUAGCUGGCCUGCCUCUCCUGGAGCCACAGGGAACUGUGGAUUGUCACUUCAGGUGCUGGGUAUGGAGGGAGUGAGAACUUCAAGCCCAAGCCAUCGUAGAGACAGGUGGACCAGAGAUACAGUCUUGGGCAUUUGCAUUUUAGAGACUUGAAGCCCACACCAGAAGGCUACAAGUCAGUGAGCACACACACACACACACCAGGCCCCAAGGUGGCAGGGCCCACGAAAGACAGAAGAAAGGCUUGUCUUGGUUCUAUGACGAAUGCAUCAUGUACCUUGCUUCAAGGGCAAAGAGACAGAAAAAGUCAGAGAGUAAAGUCAGAACUGGGUCAGGAGGGGGAGGAAGAAUCAGGUUUUUGCAAGGCAGUUACUUCUUGCCUGCUCAGGGUUUCUCUGGAUAGUCCUGACUGUCCUGAAACUCGUUCUGUAGACCAGGCUGCCCUUGAACUCACAGAGAUCCGCCUAACUCUGCCUCCCGAGUUCUGGGAUUAAAGAUUUGCCCACCACCACCUGAACAAGUGUUCAGUUCUUACUUCUGUCUUAUAGAUGAGAACACUGAGACUCAGUGAUGAAAGAACUGGUCACUGUAGGAGUAGGCUUUGAGAUUCUCCUCCUUGCUGCCUGGAGGACGAUAGUUUUUUUUCCUGUUUGCCUUAUGAACUCUUUGGUCUUGGCUUUUUCUCCAGCACCAUGCUUACCUGGAUGCUGACGUGUCUCCUGUAUUGAUGAUACUGGACUGAACCUCUGAGCCUAUAAGCCAGCCCCAAUUAAAUGUGUGCCUUAUAAGAAUAAAAAGAAUGAUGAAGGAACUGAACUCAGAACACACAACCAGUAAGUGGUAGGCCAAGUUAAUCCUGAGUUAAUAUUGCAGACAGACCUGGGUUUGAGUCCUGAUUGGUGAGACAUGUGAUUCAGCAAGUUUUGUGCACAGCCAGCUCUUCUCAGCUGAUUUCCUAUGUUAAAUGCAUGGAGGAAUGCAGGCCAUUUCCUAUAACUAGCUGCUAGCAUUGUUACAAGUUUGCUGCAGGAAUUAAGUAGAAACGUGCUUCCAUUGGUAGAGCGGCUA